AUACGGAGGGUGCAAGCGUUGUCCGGAAUCACUGGGUGUAAAGGGUGUGUAGGUGGGAUUGUAAGUCAGAGGUGAAAUCCUGCAGCUUAACUGUAGAACUGCCUUUGAUACUGCAAUUCUUGAGUUCUGGAGAGGCCACUGGAAUUCGUGGUGUAGCGGUGAAAUGCGUAGAUAUCACGAGGAACACCAGAUGCGUAGGCGGGUGGCUGGACAGAUACUGACACUGAGGCACGAAAGCGUGGGGAGCAAACAGGAUUAGAUACCCCAGUAGUCC
RNAcentral lists this ribosomal RNA (274 nucleotides) under uncultured bacterium. Its description in RNAcentral is "partial 16S ribosomal RNA". It matches the Rfam family "Bacterial small subunit ribosomal RNA", at positions 523 to 796 of the family's 1533-position model. The record is from RNAcentral.